This 379-nucleotide ribosomal RNA is filed under the name uncultured bacterium. RNAcentral describes it as "bacterial SSU rRNA". It matches the Rfam family "Bacterial small subunit ribosomal RNA", at positions 521 to 896 of the family's 1533-position model. The record is from RNAcentral.
UAAUACGUAGGGGGCGAGCGUUGUCCGGAUUUAUUGGGCGUAAAGAGCUCGUAGGCGGUUUGGUAAGUCGGGUGUGAAAACCCCAGGCUCAACCUGGGGACGCCACCUGAUACUGCUAUGACUUGAGUCUGGUAGGGGACCACGGAAUUCCUGGUGUAGCGGUGAAAUGCGCAGAUAUCAGGAGGAACACCGGUGGCGAAGGCGGUGGUCUGGGCCAGUACUGACGCUGAGGAGCGAAAGCGUGGGUAGCAAACAGGAUUAGAUACCCUGGUAGUCCACGCCGUAAACGUUGGGCACUAGGUGUGGGGGGACGUCAACUCCUUCCGUGCCGCAGCUAACGCAGUAAGUGCCCCGCCUGGGGAGUACGGCCGCAAGGCUA